UGGACUUCCAGAGAGACGGACGGUCAGAUCAAGAAGAUUGUGUUUGCCUGUUUGGAAAUAUUUUUUUUACCUAACAAAGAAAUAGAAUAUAUGGAUAUUGAGAAGGAGUUGGGAGU
This 116-nucleotide small RNA is filed under the name Pongo abelii (Sumatran orangutan). Its description in RNAcentral is "processed transcript". The record is from RNAcentral. Lineage: Eukaryota; Metazoa; Chordata; Mammalia; Primates; Hominidae.